AUAUCACCCAUACAUCCAGAUAUAAUUGAAAAAUCUGGAUGCUUUGAUGGUGUAG
Molecule: microRNA precursor, 55 nt
Organism: Monodelphis domestica (gray short-tailed opossum)
Lineage: Eukaryota; Metazoa; Chordata; Mammalia; Didelphimorphia; Didelphidae
Source: Ensembl